This 498-nucleotide ribosomal RNA is filed under the name unidentified low G+C gram-positive bacterium. RNAcentral describes it as "bacterial SSU rRNA". It matches the Rfam family "Bacterial small subunit ribosomal RNA", at positions 28 to 508 of the family's 1533-position model. The record is from RNAcentral. Lineage: Bacteria; Bacillati; Bacillota.
GACGAACGCUGGCGGCGUGCCUAAUACAUGCAAGUCGAGCGGACUUGUAGGAGCUUGCCCCUGCAAGUUAGCGGCGGACGGGUGAGUAACACGUGGGCAACCUGCCUGUAAGACUGGGAUAACUUCGGGAAACCGGAGCUAAUACCGGAUGCUACUUAGGAACUCCUGUUCCUUAGUUGAAAGAUGGCUUCGGCUAUCACUUACAGAUGGGCCCGCGGCGCAUUAGCUAGUUGGUGAGGUAACGGCUCACCAAGGCGACGAUGCGUAGCCGACCUGAGAGGGUGAUCGGCCACACUGGGACUGAGACACGGCCCAGACUCCUACGGGAGGCAGCAGUAGGGAAUCUUCCGCAAUGGACGAAAGUCUGACGGAGCAACGCCGCGUGAGCGAUGAAGGCCUUCGGGUCGUAAAGCUCUGUUGUUAGGGAAGAACAAGUGCUAGUUGAAUAAGCUGGCACCUUGACGGUACCUAACCAGAAAGCCACGGCUAACUACGUGC